This 816-nucleotide ribosomal RNA is filed under the name marine metagenome. Its description in RNAcentral is "bacterial SSU rRNA". It matches the Rfam family "Bacterial small subunit ribosomal RNA", at positions 26 to 890 of the family's 1533-position model. The record is from RNAcentral.
AGAACGUACGCUGGCGGCACGCCUAACACAUGCAAGUCGAACGAAGUAGCAAUACUUAGUGGCAGACGGGUGAGUAACAUGUAGGUAUCUACCCUUUGGCCUGGAAUAACACGAGGAAACUUGUGCUAAUACCGGAUAAGUCUUUACGGAGAAAGCUUUAUGCACCAUUGGAUGAGCCUGCACUUGAUUAGUUUGUUGGUAGGGUAAUGGCCUACCAAGACUGUGAUCAAUAGCUGAUUUGAGAGGAUGAUCAGCCACAUUGGGACUGAGACACGGCCCAAACUCCUACGGGAGGCAGCAGUGGGGAAUCUUGCACAAUGGAGGAAACUCUGAUGCAGCGAUGCCGCGUGAGUGAAGAAGGCCCUUGGGUUGUAAAGCUCUUUCGUCGGGGAAGAAAAUGACUGUACCCGAAUAAGAAGGUCCGGCUAACUUCGUGCCAGCAGCCGCGGUAAUACGAAGGGACCUAGCGUAGUUCGGAAUUACUGGGCUUAAAGAGUUCGUAGGUGGUUGAAAAAGUUGGUGGUGAAAUCCCAGAGCUUAACUCUGGAACUGCCAUCAAAACUUUUCAGCUAGAGUUUGAUAGAGGAAAGCAGAAUUUCUAGUGUAGAGGUGAAAUUCGUAGAUAUUAGAAAGAAUACCAAUUGCGAAGGCAGCUUUCUGGAUCAUUACUGACACUGAGGAACGAAAGCAUGGGUAGCGAAGAGGAUUAGAUACCCUCGUAGUCCAUGCCGUAAACGAUGUGUGUUAGACGUUGGAAAUUUAUUUUCAGUGUCGCAGCGAAAGCAAUAAACACACCGCCUGGGGAGUACGACCGCA